This 155-nucleotide ribosomal RNA is filed under the name Escherichia coli. RNAcentral describes it as "partial 23S ribosomal RNA". It matches the Rfam family "Bacterial large subunit ribosomal RNA", at positions 2788 to 2925 of the family's 2925-position model. Lineage: Bacteria; Pseudomonadati; Pseudomonadota; Gammaproteobacteria; Enterobacterales; Enterobacteriaceae. The record is from RNAcentral. RNAcentral also lists the same sequence under 1 other name.
CGAAACUUGCCCCGAGAUGAGUUCUCCCUGACUCCUUGAGAGUCCUGAAGGAACGUUGAAGACGACGACGUUGAUAGGCCGGGUGUGUAAGCGCAGCGAUGCGUUGAGCUAACCGGUACUAAUGAACCGUGAGGCUUAACCUUACAACGCCGAAG